This 201-nucleotide unclassified non-coding RNA is filed under the name Hevea brasiliensis (rubber tree). The record is from RNAcentral. Lineage: Eukaryota; Viridiplantae; Streptophyta; Magnoliopsida; Malpighiales; Euphorbiaceae.
GAUGGUGUCAUUCGCCUUGAUCAGAGGGUCAGGAUACCGGAUUGUGCGUCCGUCGUAAGUGUUCAGAUAAGGGAUACCCUUUUGCCCGAACUGCACCGAGCGAACUUUGCACAGCUUAUACUUAGCCUCUUCAUCCCUAACUGAGUGUAGACGGAAUCGACCUUUUGUGUCAUAAAGAAGCCGGAAAUUCUCAUUUGUCUU